GCCGGGCGCGGUGGCGCACGCCUGUAAUCCCAGCUACUCAGGAGGCUGAGGCAGGAGAAUCGCUUGAACCCGGGAGGCGGAGGCUGCAGUGAGUCGAGAUCGCGCCACUGCACUCCAGCCUGGGCGACAGAGCGAGACUCCGUCUCAG
Molecule: non-coding RNA, 148 nt
Filed under: Homo sapiens (human)
Lineage: Eukaryota; Metazoa; Chordata; Mammalia; Primates; Hominidae
Source: Rfam by way of RNAcentral